GACGAACGCUGGCGGCGUGGAUUAGGCAUGCAAGUCGAACGGUAGAAAGUCCUUCGGGGGCUUUUGAGAGUGGCGAACGGGUGAGUAACGCGUAGGUUAUCUGCCCUCAAGGCGGGGGACAACCCGGGGAAACCCGGGCUAAUACCGCAUGUGCACAGUAAUGUGUAAAGAUGGCGUAAGCUGUCGUUUGAGGAUGAGCCUGCGUCCUAUUAGCUUGAUGGUGUGGUAACGGCGCACCAUGGCGAUGAUAGGUAGGCGGCCUUAACGGGUGGUCGCCCACACUGGGAUUGAGAUACGGCCCAGACUCCGUACGGGAGGCAGCAGUCGAGAAUAGUCUACAAUGGACGAAAGUCUGAUAGUGCGACGCCGCGUGAACGAAGAGACCUUUCGGGGUGUAAAGUUCUUUUCUGUGCGAGCAGUGGUGGUUACAGUAAUAUGGUGAUCACUUUGAUAUUAGUACAGGAAUAAGCCACGGCUAACUCCGUG
Molecule: ribosomal RNA, 486 nt
Filed under: uncultured bacterium
Lineage: Bacteria
Description: bacterial SSU rRNA
Rfam family: Bacterial small subunit ribosomal RNA
Source: RNAcentral